RNAcentral lists this long non-coding RNA (561 nucleotides) under Coffea arabica (coffee). RNAcentral describes it as "long non-coding RNA (CARA_LNC002485)". The record is from RNAcentral. Lineage: Eukaryota; Viridiplantae; Streptophyta; Magnoliopsida; Gentianales; Rubiaceae.
CAUUUUUGUUGGAAUUUUUGUUUGACUUUGUCGAAUUUUGUCCAAUUUUUGCCUAUCUUUGUGCUUAUUUGUGAUUAUUCCUGAUAAACGAUGGUUAGAUGUCUCAAAUUUUUCUAUUGCUAAGAUUUUACACUUUAAGGUGUUGAGUAUGACAUGGUUGAGUUUAAGGGUAUCUCUUUGAUGAAUAUUUGAGAUUUUGUGACUUUUGCACUUUUUGGUUAACUUUUCUAAGUAUUGUAAAUAUUUGUCUAGCAUUUUUUACACAAAUUGGUUCAGCUAUUAAUCUUAGUUCUCCAUGUUUAAGAAAUGAAGCGGGUUUGUGUGGUAUUUAAUUUUAUUUUUGGUGCUUAUUUAUGAAUAGUAUUAGGCUAUACUCCGCUAGUAUCGUUGCCUAGUAACCGGGAGUCUUCACCACAAGUGUCGACUUUCGCGUCAAAAAGCGACGAUAGCUAUGAGUAUGUGGUUUUUAAGCGAUGAUGGCUGAGUAACCGGGCUCCUUCAUUUGGCCAAUGUCGGAGUUCGCGUCAAAAUGCUUGAAUGGCUAAAAACUAAGCAUUCCCC